This is a non-coding RNA of Physcomitrium patens, 2179 nucleotides long. The record is from RefSeq and is a predicted model, not a curated record. NCBI's taxonomy places the organism in Eukaryota, Viridiplantae, Streptophyta, Bryopsida, Funariales, Funariaceae.
UCACAACCCUAAACACCAUAAAGACUGCUUACUUAAGUUGAAACGUGUAUAUUUUGGGUGCUUACAGCUUAUAUGUUUUAAUGGAGAAAAAAACAGUGGAGUUGGUUGGUGGAUCUAGAUCGGAGGAGGAAUGGCCCCGUUCGUCGCCGCUCAUCGGCACCGGCGCCGCAGAGGGCGAUCGGACCACGACCCAACCAAGCCCAGCUUCGGCUUCGGCACCAGGGGAUCGCAACCCACAUCUUCGAGAGCACUGUGGGAUUUGUUUUUUUGUUUUACCGAUGGGGAGGUCCAGAGGGCAAGGAAUGGGAGAGCAUCGAUGGAUUGACGGAUCAGGCCCGGGCGGGACGAGUCUAACGUUCAUCGACUGAUCGGUCCUCGGUGCGGCGGCACCUGCUGCAGCAGAUCAGGCACGACACGGAUGCAAGACUGGUUGGUGCCGGGGAUGAUCUCGCGACAUCGGGCGGUGAAUCCACAACCUAGCGGGGUCUGAGCCAACCAAGGCUUCUUUCCAUGCUUGUUGGAGUUGCAGUUCCAGGGACCAUGGGAUCGUGGCUAUUCUAUAUCCUGAGUGAUGCGGGAAAAUAGUGUAAGAGAGUGUUGGAGCCCAGUUGGGCGAUCGGCAAGGGGGGCUGCUCACUUAAUUUUAUAUGGGUGAGGGGAAGUCCUUUCUUCAACUGUCUCUUCCAUGGUGAUCUGGAUGGGGGCCAUCUAAUCCACACGGUUCAAUUAUUGGAACCGCCACUUGCUUUCCUUUUCAGUUGUCCUCGUGUUGUCCAGAUUAAGAUACAUCUAUUUUAUGUUUGUGUAUUUAUAUAUGUUCUUUCUUCCUAUCUUUCUCUUUCUCUUUUUUUCUCUCUCUCCAGAUAGUUAUACUAGAGGCUCCCUGGUGGUCAAAUAAUUGCGACCACUGUGUUGUUCCAGGUUUGCCUUUUCCUCCACAGUGACACUUUUAGGUCUGGAGAAAUAAACAUGUAUUCUUACACACUGCUGCACGGAUGGUUUGAAGGGUCGGACGAGCGCUGGACGGCUUCUAAUUUAUGCUCCCCACACAAGGGAGAACUUGUGGAGCACUUUAGCGCAGUGGGUUCUAUGAUGUUGUCCGGAGUCGUUCACCGCAUUCUAAUCAUCCAGCGCAUGAGUCUGCAGAGAUUGCCUUCGAUCUCACUUAAAUGGUGCUACGCAGAAGAGGGAACGAGGGUGUUGGCUGGCCACGAGAAUAAUUUUGUCCGACAGUGGAGCUACGAUCCAAAACAUCCAACAUGCUAAUUAAUCUAGUACGGUGGAAGGAAUUCGUCAGACGGUGGAAAAAUUGGAAUUCCAUCCAAAUCAUGGGCUCAGGAGCUCAGUCGUCAUGAGUGCGGACCCGAGAGAACGAAAUAGAUUAAUAUUCUCUGGAAGAUAAGAUCCUCGGGAGCCGGUGGGUACUAUUCUGAACACACUACUUUACAGCUAACCGAGGAAGUGGUUUGGUGUUUUACGAGGUCAUGCUAUUGACUUUUAGCGCAUGAUCAAGGCUUUCUGUGGUUAGGAGCACAAUGAAGGUUCGGAUGGCGCUGGGGGUAGUGAAUGGGGGAAAAAAACAAAAACGGCCAAACAUUGUCUUGGAACUUUGGUCUCUCAUGAAUCAUCAAGGACAGACGUGAUUGCUGCAUCUAGCAUGUCUCGAAAUUAAUCUAUUUGGCAAUAAGUUCUGGAAUUGCGGCUCAAAAGACCAGUUUUGUUACAAAUCAGUGCAUCUUGUGGGGGGUCUGAAAAACUGACACCAGUUCAUAAGGUUCGGUGUCGAGUUUCAAAGCGGUGCGUUGAGUCGGUUGUUCAAUUCUGUGUGACACAUGGAUUAAUUACUGCUAGGUUUUAGUUUUUCUAGACUGUAAGCAAAGAUCUGGAUUUUCGAAGACGAAGAUGAUGAGAAAGCACACAACGAAAGCGACCUUAGCGGACGGUGGCGCAAAAUCAUUAUUAUUUUGGUGAAUUCCAAGUUUGAACAAGAGAGCAUAGCUAGUCGAAAUAUAAAUAUUCCUCGCUGAUUAAUUCCACCCAAUCAAUUUGAUAGCGUAAGAUGAUAAGUUUGAACGAACCUAGGGGGAAGAUCAUGAAGAGAACUUGCUCCUUCAGAUGAACAGUAGCUUGUUCUAAUGUUCGACUUGACCAUCUGAAAUUUCCAUACAACAAAAGGUUU